UGGGGAAUAUUGGACAAUGGGCGAAAGCCUGAUCCAGCCAUGCCGCGUGUGUGAAGAAGGUCUUCGGAUUGUAAAGCACUUUAAGUUGGGAGGAAGGGCAUUAACCUAAUACGUUAGUGUUUUGACGUUACCGACAGAAUAAGCACCGGCUAACUCUGUGCCAGCAGCCGCGGUAAUACAGAGGGUGCAAGCGUUAAUCGGAAUUACUGGGCGUAAAGCGCGCGUAGGUGGUUUGUUAAGUUGGAUGUGAAAGCCCCGGGCUCAACCUGGGAACUGCAUCCAAAACUGGCAAGCUAGAGUACGGUAGAGGGAGGUGGAAUUUCCUGUGUAGCGGUGAAAUGCGUAGAUAUAGGAAGGAACACCAGUGGCGAAGGCGACCACCUGGACUGAUACUGACACUGAGGUGCGAAAGCGUGGGGAGCAAACA
This 427-nucleotide ribosomal RNA is filed under the name uncultured bacterium. RNAcentral describes it as "partial 16S ribosomal RNA". It matches the Rfam family "Bacterial small subunit ribosomal RNA", at positions 355 to 774 of the family's 1533-position model. The record is from RNAcentral.